CACGCCCUAAACGAUGUCAACUGGUUGUUGGGGAUUUAUUUUCUCAGUAACGAAGCUAACGCGUGAAGUUGACCGCCUGGGGAGUACGGCCGCAAGGUUAAAACUCAAAGGAAUUGACGGGGACCCGCACAAGCGGUGGAUGAUGUUCUUUAAUUCGAUGCAACGCGAAAAACCUUACCCACCUUUGACAUGUACGGAAUCCUUUAGAGAUAGAGGAGUGCUCGAAAGAGAGCCGUAACACAGGUGC
RNAcentral lists this ribosomal RNA (247 nucleotides) under uncultured Comamonas sp. Its description in RNAcentral is "partial 16S ribosomal RNA". It matches the Rfam family "Bacterial small subunit ribosomal RNA", at positions 796 to 1041 of the family's 1533-position model. Lineage: Bacteria; Pseudomonadati; Pseudomonadota; Betaproteobacteria; Burkholderiales; Comamonadaceae. The record is from RNAcentral.